AUGGCUCAGAUUGAACGCUGGCGGCAGGCCUAACACAUGCAAGUCGAACGGUAACAGGAAGCAGCUUGCUGCUUCGCUGACGAGUGGCGGACGGGUGAGUAAUGUCUGGGAAACUGCCCGAUGGAGGGGGAUAACUACUGGAAACGGUAGCUAAUACCGCAUAAUGUCGCAAGACCAAAGAGGGGGACCUUCGGGCCUCUUGCCAUCGGAUGUGCCCAGAUGGGAUUAGCUUGUUGGUGAGGUAACGGCUCACCAAGGCGACGAUCCCUAGCUGGUCUGAGAGGAUGACCAGCCACACUGGAACUGAGGCACGGUCCAGACUCCUACGGGAGGCAGCAGUGGGGAAUAUUGCACAAUGGGCGCAAGCCUGAUGCAGCCAAUGCCGCGUGUAUGAAGAAGGCCUUCGGGUUGUAAAGUACUUUCAGCGGGAGGAAGGGGUUAAGGUUAAUAACCUUAGCCAUUGACGUUACCCGCAGAAGAAGCACCGGCUAACUCCGUGCCAGCCGCCGC
RNAcentral lists this ribosomal RNA (510 nucleotides) under uncultured bacterium. Its description in RNAcentral is "bacterial SSU rRNA". It matches the Rfam family "Bacterial small subunit ribosomal RNA", at positions 19 to 518 of the family's 1533-position model. The record is from RNAcentral.